UGGUCCUGGUCAGUCCCUGGAUGGGAGACCAGAUGCUGCUGGAAGUGGUGUUGGAGGGCCAGUAGGAGGCACUCUUUCCUCUGGUCUAAAAAGAUAUCCCAAUGCCCCAGGGCAGUGAUUGGCACUGCCCUGUGUAGGGUGCUGUCUUUCGGAUGGGACGUUAAACGGGUGUCCUGACUCUCUGAGGUCAUUAAAGAUCCCAUGGCACUUAUCGCAAGAGUAGGGGUGUUAACCCCAGUGUCCUGGCUAAAUUCCCAAUCUGGCCCUCAUACCAUCAUGGCCACCUAAUCAUCCCCAGUUUACAAUUGGCUCAUUCAUCCCCCUCCUCUCCCCUGUAACUAUUCCCCAGGUUGUUGCUGUAAAUGAGAAUGUGUUCUCAGUCAACUUACCUGGUAAAACAAUACAGAUGGGUCUUUCUAUAAAUAAUAGGGUCAAUGUGUGACACUAACCAGGUUUCCAUCCAACCUUUUUAUGUGAGUAAAGUAGCCUAAAUCUUGAAUAAACAAAUGUAAUGGAAACAGCACAUAUUUCUUUAAACUUUCCAAAUGUCGACAAAACAAAAUACACUAUACAAGGUGGGAUCUUUUUGUGCCGGUAAAAUUAAUUAUGCGAGAAAUGUUGGUGGAAAUGCUUUUAUGCGCAAAUAUUGAUAUCACAACCAUCAUAUCAAAGUAGACUUGGAGUCCCGCGAUGACAUGGUGUGUGGUCCUCCCGCUACGACUCGUCGGGGAAGCAUACAGUUUAUUAGGCUACAGAUGAAAGAACUGAUGAUGAACUCCCGCUACGACUCGUCGGGGAAGCAUACAGUUUGUUAGGCUACAGAUGAAAGAACUGAUGAUGAACUCCCGCUACGACUCAUCGGGGAAGCAUACAGUUUGUUAGGCUACAGAUGAAAGAACUGAUGAUGAACUCCCACUACGACUCGUCGGGGAAGCAUACAGUUUGUCAGGCUACAGAUGAAAGAACUGAUGAUGAACUCCCACUACGACUCGUCGGGGAAGCAUACAGUUUAUCAGGCUACAGAUGAAAGAACUGAUGAUGAACUCCCACUACGACUCGUCGGGGAAGCAUACAGUUUAUCAGGCUACAGAUGAAAGAACUGAUGAUGAACUCCCACUACGACUCGUCGGGGAAGCAUACAGUUUAUCAGGCUACAGAUGAAAGAACUGAUGAUGAACUCCCACUACGACUCGUCGGGGAAGCAUACAGUUUAUCAGGCUACAGAUGAAAGAACUGAUGAUGAACACCCGCUACGACUCGUCGGGGAAGCAUACAGUUUAUCAGGCUACAGAUGAAAGAACUGAUGAUGAACUCCCACUACGACUCGUCGGGGAAGCAUACAGUUUAUCAGGCUACAGAUGAAAGAACUGAUGAUGAACAUCGCAGGGAAGGGAAAGUACAAGGUGAUACAUUUAAAUCUUAAAAUGUGCCGAUUUUAUGAAUAUUGGAUGGUUUAUGCAGAUUUUCGAAUAUUAGCAUGAACGUCUUUCAUUCAUUGGAUGGAAACCUGCCAUUAUCACUUUAAGAAUAAUGCAUUUUUUGGGCCUUGCCAAUGCAUCGAUAUUCAAAUGAUUAUUACAUUCUGAAAUAUGUGAGAAUAAUGUGGACAUUGCCUGACUAAAUAGUUUGGAUGCAUGGCGAUUUUUCUGUAGCCUAUGUGGCCUACGCAGGUAGACAUCAUAAAGCAGUGAAUAGCGGUAGCAUUAAUCUCACCAUUUGAAUCUCACUAUCGCCGUUUCUAUCAUGAGAAAGUGACCAGUUCCCCUUUUUAAUGGAUAGAUUUGUAUGGAAUGCCAAGUUGAAGCCAACAUUAGCUGUCGUCCUAAUAAUAACCGCAAAAUUGUUUUACCGCAAAAGAGUAGCGCAACACCCUUCAAUUGAAGCGGCAGGAAACAAAAUAGCUACCGCUAUUCACUCUAACCCACACUAACCCACUCUAACACACUCUAACCCACACUAACCCACACUAACCCACACUAACCCACACUAACCCACACUAACCCACUCUAACCCACUCUAACACACACUAACCCACACUAACCCACAAACACACACUAACCCACACUAACCCACACUAACCCACUCUAACCCACACUAACCCACACUAACCCACACUAACCCACACUAACACACACUAACCCUCUCUAACCCUCUCUAACCCUCUCUAACCCUCUCUAACCCACGAAUAGAUGAUUGACAGAGAUAGAUACACACUUAGUGUAUACUAACUCAGCUUUUACAUGGUCUCUAAACAUCAUGCACAUUUUCCAGAGUGCCUCACCUCCUGUAAGGUCAUCAAGGCUGCCCUCCCCAUCUCCUGGGAAAGACUCCAUCACUCCUUCCUUUCAACAGCUGCAGGAGGAAUAAAGAGAGAGAAAGAAAGGGAUGAAUAGAUAAAACAAUAAAGCAUAGAUACAGACAGACCAACAAAUGAAAGCAGAUAGGGAGAGAAGCCAGCAGUCAGAGGAGAAAGAGAGAUGCAGAUCUGUUAUAUCUAACAGAAUGUCCAUUCUACCUGAACAGAACACGAUCUCACACCCCACCUGAGCACAAAGGUAAGUAGCAGAUAGACAAAUGGAACACCAAGAUAUAUUAAGUUACCGUACGCACGCACGUAUGAACGCACACCCACUGUGGUCAUUACAGCCAUAUAACCUGGCUCUGCCUUUGAAGUAUUGAAGUCUACAAUGUGAGCUGCUAGUUGAUGGCCAGAGGCUGAUAAGCCAGACAGCAUGAGGCUGUGGAGCAACAUGCAAAGUUCAGCCUGCUCCUGAGUCCCCUUUGAGACUUAG
This 2792-nucleotide long non-coding RNA is filed under the name Salmo salar (Atlantic salmon). RNAcentral's name for it is "lncRNA (ENSSSAG00000095112.1)". The record is from RNAcentral. Lineage: Eukaryota; Metazoa; Chordata; Actinopteri; Salmoniformes; Salmonidae.